RNAcentral lists this transfer RNA (97 nucleotides) under Hypsizygus marmoreus. It matches the Rfam family "tRNA". From Rfam's summary of the family: Transfer RNA (tRNA) molecules are approximately 80 nucleotides in length. Their secondary structure includes four short double-helical elements and three loops (D, anti-codon, and T loops). Further hydrogen bonds mediate the characteristic L-shaped molecular structure. tRNAs have two regions of fundamental functional importance: the anti-codon, which is responsible for specific mRNA codon recognition, and the 3' end, to which the tRNAs corresponding amino acid is attached (by aminoacyl-tRNA synthetases). tRNAs cope with the degeneracy of the genetic code in two manners: having more than one tRNA (with a specific anti-codon) for a particular amino acid; and 'wobble' base-pairing, i.e. permitting non-standard base-pairing at the 3rd anti-codon position. Lineage: Eukaryota; Fungi; Basidiomycota; Agaricomycetes; Agaricales; Lyophyllaceae. The record is from Rfam by way of RNAcentral.
GGCCGUGUGGCGAAAUGGCAUCGCGUCUGACUACGAUAUAUUGCAGCCACCCAGAAUUGGAAUCAGGAGAUUGCAGGUUCGACCCCUGUCUCGGUCA